UCACCCCCUCCCCCGUGAGGAUGAUGAUGAGGAUGAUGCCGGCCACCUCACCGCGGUAUCAGGGCCUCACUACACCCUCACUCUUUGUGGGGAUGCCAAGCAGCCGUCCUGCGGCCUGCCCUCGCGUGUUGGCUGCCGACUCUUGAUGCCGGCGGACAGGUGUGGGUUGGCGCCGUGCCAAAGAGACUUGCGGCCACGACGCCACUUUUACCGGCCGACUGCGCAUCCUGUCGACAAUUCGCGAAAGCUUGAUACACCCUCUCCCGCCCAAAGGCCCGCGGAUUCAGGAGAGGGCGGAAUGCCCCUGCCCGCCACACAGACUCACAGCAGCGUCCCGCCUGUCGCGGCACAUGCGAGCAAGCCAUCCAGACACACGCCCCCAGGCAACAACGCCGUCCUGAAGCCGGCCCCGGGAUCCGAAAAUGCGGGCACUGCACACGCGCUGCCAGCGGUAGCUGGCAUGGUGCAUCCCAGCAGGACAUGCAGGGGUCGGAGGGGCGCGAGUGAUGGACGAGCGGGGCGUGAAGCGAUCCAUACGAAUCAGCCCCAGCGCGCAUGGGUGUGGCACACGCGGCAUCUCCUACAUCCCGACCGGGUGGGCCGAUGAGGCGCAGACGCCGGAAGCGUAACGGGGACACCCCGAGUCGCACCAUCGAGUCCUGCCGACGCCGGUGUGAAGAGUCACCGCACCGCAUUGUGGAAUGCCGCUGCCUGAGGCGACUGAGAGGGCGGAGCAUGGCACAUAGGCAAUGGGGGUGCAGGGUCUCAGCGGGGGCUCUGACCUGCGGCUGGCGAGCCUCCUUCUCGAGCUCGGGCGGCAUGCGCCUGCACCAUCCCCUGCUGUCGCCGCGCGCCGGACGCCACCGCUUCCGCCCUCGAGUGCAGGACCCUGAACGCGGCCCGCCGUGGAUGAAGGCCUGCAGUACACCCAGGCCCGUGCGGUGCCGGUCGAGCGGGGUGUAUGCGGCAGGAGUGGACGAGGAAGGAGAGGGAGAGCUCGAUAGAGACGCGUGGCCCGACUCGACGGCAGGACGGCUCGUGCCGGUCGACCAGGACUCCGCCGUGGGGCGGCAGAGGUCGGUGAACUGUGGUUGUGCAUUGCAUCGAUCAGCGGACUUGUUCGUGGUGGCAUGAGGCGUUCCAAAAAAAAACGAGAAGAAAAAGGCGGUAUCACUCGUCCUCCCUGCUCCUGUUCGGCUCGAUGCGUGGAUGUGCAUGCCUACUUGUGCAGGCCUGUGCCUGCCGGUGGAUGCGUGCGGUUUUCGUACGCUUACGGGUGUGCCAGCACGCGCCAUGUCACGCACCAUCAUCGCCCUUAUCGUGGCAAGCGCUAUCAUCCUUUUCUGGAUGCUUUCUUCUUUCCGCGUGGUGGAGGGACCCCGCAGCGAUUCCCGAGGCACUCAGAGGAAUCGAGGGGCAGCACUGAACGCAGUCUUGUUGCACAUAUGCCGCUCUCCGCAUGCAAGCACACGCGUCUUCCGACUUCCCCUCUCCCUUCGCACCACACCGCUGCUCAAG
Molecule: unclassified non-coding RNA, 1518 nt
Filed under: Leishmania donovani
Lineage: Eukaryota; Euglenozoa; Kinetoplastea; Trypanosomatida; Trypanosomatidae
Description: gene:unknown
Source: RNAcentral